Molecule: ribosomal RNA, 369 nt
Filed under: Callismilax plicicollis
Lineage: Eukaryota; Metazoa; Arthropoda; Insecta; Coleoptera; Tenebrionidae
Description: partial 12S ribosomal RNA
Source: RNAcentral
GAUACCCUAUUAUUAAAAAUGUAAUUUUUGGGCUAAAAUUAUUGUAAGUUAUGGUCUUUAAAGUUAAAAAAUUUGGCGGUAUUUUAGUCUGUUCAGAGGAACCUGUUUUUUAAUUGAUAAUCCACGAUUAUUAAUACUUUUUCUUUAAAUUUGUAUAUCGUCGUUAAUAAAAAUUUUGGGAGAAUUAAAAUUUUUGAAGUUUUUUAUUAGGAAGGAGUUCAGAUCAAGGUGCAGUUUAUGAAAAAGUAAAAAUGGGUUACAUUAUUAAAAGAUGUGGUCUUUGAUUUUAAAAGUUAAGGUAAAUUGGAUUUGAAAGUAAAUUAUAUAUUUAGUAUAAUUGAUUUAGCUCUAAAAUAUGCACACAUCGCC